Molecule: transfer RNA, 67 nt
Filed under: Sinopodisma pieli
Lineage: Eukaryota; Metazoa; Arthropoda; Insecta; Orthoptera; Acrididae
Also listed under: 1 other name
Description: tRNA-Glu
Rfam family: tRNA
About the family: Transfer RNA (tRNA) molecules are approximately 80 nucleotides in length. Their secondary structure includes four short double-helical elements and three loops (D, anti-codon, and T loops).
Source: RNAcentral
AUUUAUAUAGUUUAAAUAAAACAUUACAUUUUCACUGUAAAGACAAUAUUUUACAUAUUUAUAAAUA